RNAcentral lists this ribosomal RNA (373 nucleotides) under uncultured bacterium. RNAcentral's name for it is "bacterial SSU rRNA". It matches the Rfam family "Bacterial small subunit ribosomal RNA", at positions 521 to 896 of the family's 1533-position model. The record is from RNAcentral.
UAAUACGUAGGUGGCAAGCGUUGUCCGGAUUUAUUGGGUUUAAAGGGUGCGUAGGCGGUGACCUAAGUCAGUUGUGAAAUACGAUAGCUUAACUAUCGAGGUGCAAUUGAUACUGGGUUACUUGAGUACUGAUGAGGUAGGCGGAAUGGACGGUGUAGCGGUGAAAUGCUUAGAUAUCGUCCAGAACACCGAUAGCGAAGGCAGCUUACUAAGGAGUAACUGACGCUGAGGCACGAAAGUGUGGGGAUCAAACAGGAUUAGAUACCCUGGUAGUCCACACUGUAAACGAUGAUCACUCGAUGUUGGCGAUACACAGCCAGCGUCUUAGCAAAAGCGAUAAGUGAUCCACCUGGGGAGUACGCCGGCAACGGUG